RNAcentral lists this ribosomal RNA (386 nucleotides) under Paramicrodon nigripennis. RNAcentral describes it as "bacterial SSU rRNA". It matches the Rfam family "Eukaryotic small subunit ribosomal RNA", at positions 50 to 427 of the family's 1831-position model. Lineage: Eukaryota; Metazoa; Arthropoda; Insecta; Diptera; Syrphidae. The record is from RNAcentral.
CAUGCAUGUCUAAGUACAAACUAAAUAAAAAGUGAAACCGCAAAAGGCUCAUUAAAUCAGUUAUGGUUUAUUAGAUCAUUAAAAAUUAUACUUGGAUAACUGUGGUAAUUCUAGAGCUAAUACAUGAAAUAUAAACAUGGACCUAUGGAACAUGUGCUUUUAUUAGACUAAAAUCAAGAGAUUUCUUCGGGAAUCUUAUAAUGGUUGAACUCUAGAUAAUUUGCAAAUCGUAUGGUCUUGUACUGACGAUAGAUCUUUUAAAUGUCUGCCCUAUCAACUAUUGAUGGUAGUAUAGAGGGCUACCAUGGUUGCAACGGGUAACGGGGAAUCAGGGUUCGAUUCCGGAGAGGGAGCCUGAGAAACAGCUACCACAUCUAAGGAAGGCA